GUUGAUUUCUAGCAUUGGCGUUAGCUGCUGAUUAAAAAAAGAAAAUCACAAAACCCACCGCCCAACCCACGCACGCAGCCUACCCCAGGCCCAAAGCAGACAGACACGCAUCCCCUAGAGGAACACACGCACGCCCAGGAGGAGCGCGACCACCAAGCUGGCGGCGGCGUGCCUCCCAGUGGCGCGCGCCCCCGGCACAGCAGCUCCGCAGGCCUCCCCUCCAUGAUUUUAGGGAUUCUGUAGUGCUGGGAUAAGAAAUCGUGGAUUUGAGUAGGAAUGGAUGCUACUGAAGUUCCAGAAGGGAUUGAUCCAAAGAAUGCUUGUAAAAUAGAGGUCAAUGUCAACUCAUACUUCAGCACUAGAGAUGGUAAGAAGGUGUACAAUCGGGGUCGGAUCAUAAAAUGGAUUGUUGAUUCGGAACAAUAUGCAGUCAUUGAUCUCGAGAAGGAUAUUAUUAGAGAAGGAUAUCUCUGAGACAGCAACCAAAGGGCAAAUUUCUGGGUUGUAACAGGGCCCCAUUUGACAUGCAAGUUAACUUCAGAUGGUCAGCUUCUUAACUUGCAAUGUUGAUGAGCCAACUGGAGUAGACGAAGAGUGGAGGUACUUCAACAAUGUAGAUUCUGCUAUUCAUGAUGCACAACCAGUAGAAAAUAUUGAAGAAGAGUUGCAGAAAAGGAAGAGGACAAGGCUUAUUCCAGAAUUUGAUACUGAAUGUGUUCCUGACGAUGAGGCUGCUAUGGUAGAUGAUUACAUUUAUCCUCACACAAUUCAUGAUAAAGAGAAUCCAGUCAUUAAGGAAGGAGACACGUUUGGAGAUAA
Molecule: long non-coding RNA, 819 nt
Organism: Panicum virgatum (switchgrass)
Lineage: Eukaryota; Viridiplantae; Streptophyta; Magnoliopsida; Poales; Poaceae
Exons: 3
Source: RefSeq, a predicted model, not a curated record